Molecule: non-coding RNA, 27 nt
Filed under: Rattus norvegicus (Norway rat)
Lineage: Eukaryota; Metazoa; Chordata; Mammalia; Rodentia; Muridae
Source: RNAcentral
UCUGUUUUCAGGGUGAUGUCAAGAUGU